UACGGGAGGCAGCAGUGGGGAAUAUUGCACAAUGGGCGGAAGCCUGAUGCAGCGACGCCGCGUGGGGGAUGACGGCCUUCGGGUUGUAAACUCCUUUCGACAGGGACGAAGCGCAAGUGACGGUACCUGUAUAAGAAGCACCGGCUAACUACGUGCCAGCAGCCGCGGUAAUACGUAGGGUGCGAGCGUUGUCCGGAAUUACUGGGCGUAAAGAGCUCGUAGGUGGUUUGUCGCGUCGUCUGUGAAAUUCCGGGGCUUAACUCCGGGCGUGCAGGCGAUACGGGCAUAACUUGAGUGCUGUAGGGGAGACUGGAAUUCCUGGUGUAGCGGUGAAAUGCGCAGAUAUCAGGAGGAACACCGAUGGCGAAGGCAGGUCUCUGGGCAGUUACUGACGCUGAGGAGCGAAAGCAUGGGUA
Molecule: ribosomal RNA, 416 nt
Filed under: uncultured bacterium
Lineage: Bacteria
Description: bacterial SSU rRNA
Rfam family: Bacterial small subunit ribosomal RNA
Source: RNAcentral